UAUGUAUAAUUAAUGAAUGAAUGGUCCCUUAGCGGCAAUGGUGGGUGAGAAAAUUAACUGUAAAUAUGAAAUGCAGACUGCAAAAUCACAAAUAAGAACUUUUUCUGUGCAAAAACAUCAAACAAAUUAACUGCAUACAAAUAAAAACAACUUACCAAAACUAAAACGUUUAUCCUCUGCAUCGUUACAAUCUGUCGUAAAUCCGAUGUAGUGAUCUAUUCCUUGAUUUUUAAUUCUGGUAUCUGUUUUAGGGACUGACACCACAUCUCAAAUGGUGUAUCUGGGGCAGGCGGC
Paramuricea clavata is the source of this 294-nucleotide non-coding RNA. Lineage: Eukaryota; Metazoa; Cnidaria; Anthozoa; Malacalcyonacea; Plexauridae. The record is from the annotation of a GenBank genome assembly.